RNAcentral lists this small RNA (28 nucleotides) under Bombyx mori (domestic silkworm). RNAcentral's name for it is "piRNA piR-bmo-1928976". Lineage: Eukaryota; Metazoa; Arthropoda; Insecta; Lepidoptera; Bombycidae. The record is from RNAcentral.
UUAAAAGUCCGAGCACGAGAGCUGUUAC